GCCAGCAUGGCUCAGUGGUUGAGCGUCAACUUAUGAACCUGGAGGUCAGGGUUUGAUUCCCGGUCAGGGCA
This 71-nucleotide transfer RNA is filed under the name Myotis brandtii (Brandt's bat). It matches the Rfam family "tRNA". Rfam says of the family: Transfer RNA (tRNA) molecules are approximately 80 nucleotides in length. Their secondary structure includes four short double-helical elements and three loops (D, anti-codon, and T loops). The record is from Rfam by way of RNAcentral. Lineage: Eukaryota; Metazoa; Chordata; Mammalia; Chiroptera; Vespertilionidae.